RNAcentral lists this ribosomal RNA (690 nucleotides) under Streptomyces tubercidicus. RNAcentral describes it as "bacterial SSU rRNA". It matches the Rfam family "Bacterial small subunit ribosomal RNA", at positions 82 to 784 of the family's 1533-position model. Lineage: Bacteria; Bacillati; Actinomycetota; Actinomycetes; Kitasatosporales; Streptomycetaceae. The record is from RNAcentral.
CGGGAGGGGAUUAGUGGCGAACGGGUGAGUAACACGUGGGCAAUCUGCCCUUCACUCUGGGACAAGCCCUGGAAACGGGGUCUAAUACCGGAUACGACCACCGACCGCAUGGUCUGGUGGUGGAAAGCUCCGGCGGUGAAGGAUGAGCCCGCGGCCUAUCAGCUUGUUGGUGGGGUGAUGGCCUACCAAGGCGACGACGGGUAGCCGGCCUGAGAGGGCGACCGGCCACACUGGGACUGAGACACGGCCCAGACUCCUACGGGAGGCAGCAGUGGGGAAUAUUGCACAAUGGGCGAAAGCCUGAUGCAGCGACGCCGCGUGAGGGAUGACGGCCUUCGGGUUGUAAACCUCUUUCAGCAGGGAAGAAGCGAAAGUGACGGUACCUGCAGAAGAAGCGCCGGCUAACUACGUGCCAGCAGCCGCGGUAAUACGUAGGGCGCAAGCGUUGUCCGGAAUUAUUGGGCGUAAAGAGCUCGUAGGCGGCUUGUCACGUCGGAUGUGAAAGCCCGGGGCUUAACCCCGGGUCUGCAUUCGAUACGGGCAGGGCUAGAGUUCGGUAGGGGAGAUCGGAAUUCCUGGUGUAGCGGUGAAAUGCGCAGAUAUCAGGAGGAACACCGGUGGCGAAGGCGGAUCUCUGGGCCGAUACUGACGCUGAGGAGCGAAAGCGUGGGGAGCGAACAGGAUUAGAUA